CUAGCCGUAAACGAUGAACACUAGGCGUAGUCGGUAUCGACCCCGGCUGUGCCGUAGCUAACGCAUUAAGUGUUCCGCCUGGGGAGUACGGCCGCAAGGCUAAAACUCAAAGGAAUUGACGGGGGCCCGCACAAGCAGCGGAGCGUGUGGUUUAAUUCGUCGCAACGCGAAGAACCUUACCAGGGCUUGACAUGUGGCGGAAAACGGCGGAAACGUCGUCCUCCCGCAAGGGAUCGUCAUGCAGGUGUUGCAUGGCC
Molecule: ribosomal RNA, 257 nt
Filed under: uncultured bacterium
Lineage: Bacteria
Description: partial 16S ribosomal RNA
Rfam family: Bacterial small subunit ribosomal RNA
Source: RNAcentral